GUCUGAUAGAACAUGGGCCAAAAUUGUGUCCCCUCCCCCUCAGCUCCAUUGUGUCCUUCAUCAGGCUGGGCUGCUGAGCUCAGGACAACAGAGAAGAAAAGGACACUACCCCAGCAAGCUCAGCUGCCUGUUCUCAGCUGGCUUCCUGGGAGUGGCUGGGUAGCAGGGGGCAUGGCUGAGAAUUUCUGCUGACUCCCUGCCCCACACACACCUGUCCCUGGCAGCAGACCCUGGUGUUGCCCCUUCCCAGCAGAGGAACCCCAUGGCAUGGGCCAGGACCCCGCUGUGCUAGGUGGUGUACAAACACAGGACAAAAGGCAGUCCAUGCUCUGAAGAGCUAGAGAAGCAGAUGGCAGUAACACCAAGAUGGGCCGACUACAUAGUAAGAGUCAGCACCUGCCUCGAAGAGCUUAUAUUCUAAACAGACAAGGAAAGAAAGGAAAUAUUGUGAUCCUCAUUUUACAGAUGGACAGGCUGAGAUGCAGAGAGAUUAAUGACUUGCACAGGGUUACAGAGGAAAUCUACGGAAAUGAAGCCAGGUCUGUUGAGCCACAGUCCAGUGCCUUAGCCACAAGACCAUCCUUCCGCUGGAAGUCACAUUACUGUUAGGAUUUUGCUAAUUAUUCUCUCGGCCUUUCUUCUUCUGUGAUAGCCUUGGAUUUGGCAGCACAGGUCACAGUUCCCCUUGGUUCUUCUUUCCUACUUUCUGCCAGUCCUGAGGCCCUUCCUUUGUUUUCAUUCUGUCCUCACUUAAGCAGAAACCUUUUGAAGUCAAAGGGAGUAGUGCAUGAGUACAGAAUUUAAGAUUUGGCCCAGUGACUAGAACUGGGACUUUCUGGAAUUGAAUGUGUCUGCGAAAUGCUUCUGUCCUGUGGUUAUUUGGCUCCCUUCUCAGUAUUUGUGGUAAGGAUUUGUGCAAUUUUAGUGACGUGUGUAAUAACGAUCUAAUCAUCAUGACCAGGGCAGUGUCUCCAUUUCACACCCAAUCCCCUUGUCUCCGGGGUUGUUUUCUUAACUAUCACUUCCAUGUCUAGAGCUCUGAUGCUCACGUCACUUCGCGCAGCAUCCUGGACAGCACCUCCCUGUGCUGCUCUCUCCUGCUUCUUGUUCCCAUUCUCGCAAGGGUGGCACCUUCUCUGGCUUGCCCAGCUGAGAAUGGGGAGGGGGAAAGGCCGUAGGGUGAAGGGAUAUUUUUGGACUGAAGUUGUAAAGUGCCCCCUUGUUCAGGCUUUUCCUCGCUCCGGCACUUACUGUCCCCUCAUGCUCCCGACUACCAUCUGCCCCGCUGUGCCUCCGCCCCCUCUCACAGGGACUUGGCCUAAAGAUAGUAUUUAUAAUACAGUGUUUGGUGCAGGAUGAUGGUGUUAACAGCACAGUGACAGAGGAGGGAGAAGAGACUAUAGUAGACUCCUGUUUUCCUAAGUUAACAAUAACUUCACAGGCCUGGUGAGGGGGCCUCAGGGGCAGUUGAGGCAGUCAUGUUACUACCCACCACCCCUUCUCGAACAGCGGUUGCUAUAAGAACUGCAAUUAGCAGCCAUUUGUUAUUAACCAAGAGAAAGGUGCGUUCCUGGCCGUGUCGCAAAGAAUUGGCUGGGAGUCCUGGGCUAGAUCUGGAUUUCUGGCCAGGUUUCAAUGGACUGAAAGGCAGCCAGCCCUGCCUCGAACUGUAAUGGUGUGUUUCUUUCCAGAUCUUACUCUCUAGAGGGAGCAGCAGGGGGCACUGUCUGCUCACAGAUCCUGGAACUCUCCAGCUGACUUCAGCAUUAGAGGUAGCAAAGUACUGGAGAGGGACAAGUCGAUAAUAGAAGGUGCCCUCUGGAGCUUGUUUGUGUGACUGAAUUAACUGGCCUCCCCUGACCUCCUGCCAGACCUCCCCCCUCGGGUUUUCAGGGUUGCACCUUUAUGGGAAGGCUAUUUUUGAAAACUGUUCCGCCCCUCUCUCUGCCCCAGGCCCCAUAAUAACAGAAUAAGGAAGCACUUUGUGAAAUGAAUGGCUGGUAAAUUUAGAUUAAAUAAAAGGAAAUCCUUCUUCAAUCAGCAUGUGCUGCCACCCUGAUGGAAAGCACCGUCGGGAACAGAUCAUCCAGGACCAGCACUGAGGCUGCAUUGUAGUAGGGCCUGCAUGGCUGGUUUUCUGACCUGUAAUAACAUGGUAGUUAUAUGGGCUAAGAUAGUAAAGGUUAAAUUCAGGCCUCUGAUUCAGGCAUACGCUCGAGGAGUGCGGGGGUGGGGGGAGGGAGUCAGGAAGGAAUACCCCACCCUCUCCAGUGUGCAGCACUAUACAAAUGGCUAUAUUAGUGAGGAGGAGGGGGACCCACACUCUUAAAACAGGCUGGCAAGCUGGUGUUCGAGCCGGGGAGGGGGGCCAUGGAGACGCUCUGAGGUGCACUGCAAACUGAGUAAAUGCCUUGAUUUUUGUUACUGUCCGGGUAAUUAGCGUAUCGGGGAAUUCCCCCUAAGCAAAGCAUCCUGACAGCAAAAUACCGCAGCUCUCAGCAUUUCUUCAUCCGCUUCGCAGCUGAUUCACCCCAGCUGAAGAUGUGACCCUUUGUCUAAAUAGUAGCCAGUAAAGUUCUGGAGACUAGGGGUUGGAAAGAUAAAUGGAAACUGGUACCUCUGAAUUCCUGGGCCUACUUGUCAGUUUCACUGCAAAGAAGCAACUUCACCAUGCACCCAUCUGUCCCCAGUCACCAUGAUGAUGGACAAUUGCCUCUUGACCUCUGUAUCCCAUUACUGCAGCAUGGCUCACCUCUUAAUACAUCUGGUCCUUCCUUUUCAGCCUCUUUCAGGGUUGCUUCUCCUCAGCGUUCUUUGGGCUGAGACCCAGAACUUCAUUUAAUCUAGGUGAGAUCCAGAGGCCUGGAAGCACAUUCAUGAGACAAAUGGAUGUACUUGCAUAUUCAUGAGAUGCGGGUUGCAGGCCAGCUGCAUAUCCUUGAGCUCUAAGUACCUCAGUUUAUAUUCAUAAACUGCAGAGGGUUAAUUUGAUGUUGAUGGACUGAAAUCAUUGCAGUGUUUGUGGAAUCAGCCUCUUAGUUCCUAGUUACAAGUUCUCAGUCUGCUUUUAUAAGAUCCAGGAUAAUUUAACAGGAGAUGCCCUGGAUCUGCCUAUAAUGUCCCAUUUCUUAGUUUUACCUUGCCUUGCAGCCGGGUACAAAGCAUAAGCCAGGGCAACAUGCAGGGAUUUCAGUUAGAAACGUCUGGGUAUGUUCACUUCCCCAUCCCCUUCGUUGUACAGCGUUAUGGGUCACUCAUGGAAUUCUGCACUGCUUGGGCAAAAAUGUGUCUACAGUUUGUACAUAAGGUCAGAUGCAGCGUGCGUGGUAACGCAAAUCAAGAAAAAUGAGCUCCAGGGCACCAAGAUGCUGAACACAUCCAUAUCGUGAAAGCAGGUCCCCUAAGAGCAGGCCAGAAGAAUUGGAGAUGGGUCCUGUGCAGUAAAGAAGCUGACCCAUCAUUCCCUGAUGCUGGUGUGAGAACACAAGACCAUGCAGUUCAAGAGAGGUUGCCCUUCGUUUCAGUGAGCCAGUCUGCUGUUUGUCUGUCUUAAAGUGAAGCCCCUGAAUGGCAUCCUUUUCAGUGCUGUUGUUUCCAAGCACGCUGCUGCUGUGUCUCUUACAAAGGCAGGAAAAGUGGGGUUGCUCAGAGGACAGAUAAUGGGGUACAGAAUGUUUCCUUUCUAGUUCCUUUGCUGGUUCAAAUUCCCAAAAGGCUGGUAGUGACUGAAAGUUAUUGCCGUCGGAUGGCUGGUUGGUUGGGCAUGUGUUUGGUGGACUGCAUUUGUACCCACCUAAUAAAAAACCACCACGUUGGGCAGUCUCUACAGAGCGAUCUGAAAGGCGGGACUGGAGCUGUCCAGAAGACACGUGAAGCUCUGCUGGGGAAGCCUGUGCUACCCCUGCGGCUUGCGUAAGCACAGGACUUCAGUUCUCCAAGCCACCAAGGCAGCAUUUUUCAUGAGAACUAAAUAAACAGAGAGAAACAAAGGCAGAAAACCUUCACUUCCCUGGGAACCUUGCUGGGCCUGUUUUUGGUUUGCUCCCUGAACCUUGAUCAAGAGUGGGCGUGGCACAGCCAUUCUGCAAACACCAUUCAGGUAAUAACCUGCCUGGGAUUUCUCAGCAGGCCAGGGUUUGCAGGUUUGCCCUUUGAUAACAGCAAAGAUAAAAUUAGAACCCUGCACUCAGUUAGGCUCCCCCUCCUGUUAUCAUCCUCUUGAAAUGUGCUUUGUACCGUGUCCUUAUCCCUGCAACAAGGCAUUGAGCAGGUACAAACAGCCGUCCUACACACACUCACACUCCUCUCCUCCAACAGCCCUUCUCCUAAGCACCCUCUGUGCUUCAUUUCAUACACUAGCUCUCCAUGCUACAGCUUAACCCCCAGCCCCAUAUCAAACUCUACCAGAACAGCUGGAAAACAAACAACCAGAGUAAACCCAGGUUAGCAGUGACUGAAACUACCAGCUCCUGGUGGUUUGGUGGCCUCCAUUAAAUGAAUUGGGGAUUUCAUGGAAGCCACCAGCUAACUGGCACCCGGGUUGCAGAGCCAGUGCUAGGCAUAAGCAGACUAAGCAAUUGCUUAGGGCCCGAGCAGCUCAAGGGGGCCCCCUAUUUGCUUUUCAUUAUGUGUUGUGGAAAGGGGGGGAUAUUCCUGCUUAGGGCCCCCAAUGGUACUGCCUCUGCUGGGUUGACAGUCUCAGCAGAGAGGGCAGGGCCUGUAUGGAAGCUAAACUCCCAAGGUCUCUCCAGCACAGGGUUGAAGUACACUGAUGGGGCAGUGUGGGAGAAGCUUGCACAGCCAAUGUCCACACUCUAUCAGUGCUGUGAAUAAACAGAGCACCCCAGGGCUAUUGGUCUCACAUCUUUCACUCACCCCAGAAAGGGAGUCAAGAGAGAGAUUUUCUGGGUGUUCUAUGACAGCAUGUUGGACAGUGCUGGUCAUGCUGAUGUCUGGAUGACAUGCCUGAUUGCAUAUGUACAUUCCAUCAUUGUGCCAGUAUAAUACACUUGGUGGGUGCGUGUGAUCACGUCUCCCUCUAGCCACUGGAUAUAGCGAGGCUAAGAGCAUGCUGCUUUCUAACUGCUAACGCUUACUCCCUUAGCACAGUGAUAAGGACUUGUCAGUGCUUCUCGUACAGCAAUGCGGUGUCUGUGUGUGUGUAUGUAGUAAAACACAGCGGGCCAUACCCUCCCAAAGAGCUCAAUGGAGCUAUGCCAAUUGACUCCAGGUGAGGAUCUGGCCCGGAGUGGGAAAGGUUUCUGAAGCAGAGCCAGUUAGGAAGAGAAAAGAAGUGCAAGGCCAUGAGAGAAGACGAGGAUGUGGAUGUGCCAACCAGGAAAGAUAAAGGGGAAACGCUAGAUGAGAGAAUCCAUUGACUGAUGGAAGAAACUAAUAACAAAGGAUAUGGAUAGAGAAAUUAGUUUCUCUCCAAGGGAGAUGGGUGGCAGACUCCAUCCACAGGACCAGCAUCUGGGACAGAAGAGAAGAUCUAAAGUGAAUUGUGACCACAGCACGUUUGGGGGUGUGAUCAGGUAAGAUAAUGUAAAGAUCCUGGGAUGAAUGAAGUACACCAGAUAGCCCAGAAAGAUACCAAAGAAGUUCUAGCCCAGCAGCAGGAAUCUCCCCUGGCAGAGAGGGGAGGUAUCAAAAAAGAAGAGGGAAGGGACGGAAGAAGAAAAGCAUCAUUGCCAGAAUGAUGUUUAAAAAGGCAAUGCAGGUGAAAAGAGAAUGUAAGUGCAAAGGUGCUGUGUGUGUUGGGGAAGGGGAGAUUGUGGAAUGUUCAGUGACUAAGGGUGUGUCUACACUCUAAUCAGAGGUGUGAUUGCAGAAUGUGUAGAUGUACCUGAACUAGCCUCAAUCUAGCUAUAGUGCAAUAAAGCUGUGGCCACACAGACUUCAGUGUGGUCUAGCUGCCCAAGUAACUACCCACAGUCCUGUGUAGGCUUAUGCAGUUCGUGCUGAAACUUUGUGUUACUGCCACCUCCCUAAUCCAGGACCCAAGAUAGAUAGAUUAAAGCUAUCUCUAGUACAUCUGUAUGUGCUUCCGUCACAUACCCUGAUUGCAGUGUAGAUAUACCCCAGAAAAGAACGAAGCUAAUAUGGUUCUUAACCAGCAAAUAUAUUGGGUCAAGCCCUGCUCGUUCACACUGGUGUAAAUCUGGAGUAUCUCCCUUUGAAUUGGGCCUGUUGUCUAGUAUUAGUGAAUAUUGCCACCAGCUAGUUUACUGGACUGCAGCUGGCUGGCUUCCAAGCCAGCUCCUGCCAGUUUAUUAUCUUCCUGAGUGAUAUCAUCACAGCCAAUGUAAAACAUGCUGGAAAACGCUUGAUUGUCCUGAUCCCCAGUUUCAAUUACUUCCAAAUGGACUCACAGAGGGGAUCAAUAUGGGGAAGCAGGUAUCAACACAAGCCCUACCAGAAUAACAGACACCACAUCAACUUCCUGCCAUGUAAGCUGUAUAAUUCCCUCAGUACAAACUCUCCCCUUGGCUUCAAUGAAGCUAGUUUCAUAAAUCCCUUCCUUGUGCAGUGCCAUUGGACUGUGAGGUUUAAACUGGAUGGCAGUGGAGAUGUUUUCCGUCAAAGGUCUUUGACUCUGAAAUUUACACACCUGCAGUGGUCUAAUAGCACCCAUGGUCUGUUGUGAUAAUUGAGUCUACAGCUUUACUUUCAUUGUGAGUUUAACUAUAAGCAGUGAGUGAAAGUUUAUAAGAUGUAACAAUAACUUAUAGCAACAAAUGUUGAUCGGAAAAGGUAUGAAAGGGAGACAGAGACUGAGUUAGUCCAAACAAAAAGGCCUCCUGAUAGAACUCAAGGACUGUGUUAAGAUCAUGCCUGGUAAACAGGAAAAGUGUGGAACUAGAAAUCAGUGAACAAAAUUGGUGUGUCGGAAACUAGGCCUAAUUGGUGGACAAAUUAAUGAGGGGAUGGGCUAUUCCACCCACCACUCCCCUUUUGGGGUCCUUAAAGGAAGACUUUGGGAAGAAAAAUUAGCAUUGGAGUGAGCUUCACCAUCAUGGCUGCCACCCCAACUGUCUCCUAGGACCCCAGACCUUCCUCAUCCUAAGCCUGAGAGAUGUCUGAGCAGCCCAGGUCAGAGAGAGGCACCCAGAUGACAUCAACACCUCUACCAGCUCCGGCCGAAUCCCAAACACCACCUCGGAUGAAACAGGACUGGACUUCAACCACAGCACCAGCAACAACCGCAGCUCCAGCUUAUCUCAGUUAACUUCUCUUUUUCCCCAUAGGAUGGUUAUUGCCAUCUUUGUUAUCAUCUAAGAGACUGUGAGACACGGGGCUUUGCCUUCAAAAACUCUCUCCAGCCCAAGGAAAAGGGAACAAGGCUUAUUGUUAAAAUGAAAGCCUCACUUAAUACUUUACCUGUCAAAAGCUUUACUGUUUUCCCUUCUUUUCUUUACCUUUAAUAAGAAGUUAAAAUAAUUUGUAAAAGUGUGUUUGCCACAGUGCUAAGCAAUAUGAGGUCUCUAUAGAGCAAACCCCAAAUGUUGUUUAAUGUUGGACAGUGACUGUGCUACGUUAACCCCUUUGGCCCAAAUACUCCAUGGAAAUGCAUACAAAAUUUUUGGGUUCCCAAUGUGGGACCCAAAGGGUUAAAUACAUAAGCAGAAGCUGGCACCUUGGCAAACAAGCAAUUGUUUCCAAGGUUAGUUUAAAACAAAAGUUUGUUUUAAAAUUCUUAAAUGUGUUGAGUUUGUUUGAGAUAAGCAUGCAAAACAAACUGUUAACAUUUUUGCUUGAAAAAAGAGAGGGUUAACAAUUGUUUUAUAGUUAUUUUAAAAAAAAAUCUUGUAAAAUGCUUUGGUUUGUUUUUUUCCCCUUGUGUUUUGAGGUGGGUAGUUUCUAUGAUUGGUAAUUUUUAAGAAAAAGCAAUAGUAAUAAUGAGUCAUUUAAAAUUGCUGAAGAUUAAGUGGCUAAAGCAGACUUCUUGAAAUAACAUCUUGGGUAACUCUCUUCUUAAUAAAAUGCCAGCUUUAUUCCGGGCUGCUAUUGCAUUCACUGUGAAUUAAAUCUCAAACCACCGGAACCAAGGGUUCUUGCAGCACCAAACGGUUUGUGGGUUUUUUGGUGAUUGUUUUGGUUUUGCAAUGUUUUUUCCUUGUUGUUUUUGUGCUUUAGCAAAGGUUUUUCCCCCCUCCCACUUUUGUUUUUUUAUGUGGAUGAUUUCUGUUAUUGUUCUCUGCAAAUGAGACAGCAGCACAGUGCUAGUGUUGUAGCUCAGAUCCCCAGAAUGGGCUAAGUUUAGGGUGACCAGAUGUCCCGAUUUAUAGGGACAAUCCCAAUUUUUGGGUCUUUUUCUUAUAUUGGGUCCUAUUACCCCCCACCCUCUGUCCUGAUUUUUCACAUUUGCUGUCUGGUCAACCUAGCUAAGUUGCCAGGAUGGCCAUGUUGUCCUCACAAAUGGUGGUGGUAAAACGCAUGCGCAAGGUCUAUCAUAGACUAAAAAUGUCUGAAUUUUUACCAGCGUUGCUCAUGGAUGCAAAAGUGGUUCCAAAAGAACAUCGUUUUGUUGCUCCUUUUUAAAGGAGGCAACACACUUGGUUAAAAAUGCCCUCAGGGCUAAAGUUUUUCUCCAAGUGAGCAAUCUUAACCUCUAAUGGAUAAAAUCUUCCUGGGUUGUGUAAAUGUACAGCCUUUACUGUGUAAACAGCAAAAGGGGGGGGGGGGGAGGAGCUCUUUCCAUUGUUACCCACCCUGGGAAUACAGCCAAAGAAGUGAGAAGAACUGGUUUGUUCUUAAAUGUCUUACAAACAUCUGACAGCAACGGUUCUAAAUUUAGUUUUCAUUACAAAUGAAAUGAGUUAUAAGUUCUUAAACCUUUCAGAUGUUAACAAAGCGUACCUGUAAUCUUUGCAAUAUUUGAUCAAGUAAGAUUUGCAAAUCCCGAACUUGGGAUAAGGAAUUUGCUAACAUUAAAAUAUAUCCAAGGAUCUUUUUUCUUUGCCUUUUUUGAAAUGCUUAAACUAAAAUAAGGUGUUUCUUUGUAAUUGUGAUUUUAAGAACAGAUGUCUGAUCCUAGGUGGAAUUGGUUCAUAAAAGAGAGGGAUUAUGUUGUGAUAAUUGGGCCUACACACUUACCCUAGGUGUGAGUUUAACUGUAAGAAGUUAAUAAAAGUUUAUAAGAUGUAACAAUAACUUAUAAUGACAAAUGUUGAUAGGAAAAGGCAUGAAAGAGAGACAGAGACUAAAUUAGUCCAAACAAAAAGGUCUCCUCAGAUAACUCAAGGACCGUGUUAAAAUCACUCCUGGUAAACAAGAGAAGUGUGGAACUAGAAAUCAGUGAACCAACAACAGCUCCAGCCGGAGGUGCGGGAACUCAGGUUUCUGAGGGUGCAGAAGCACCCCCUGGCUUGAAGUGGUUUCCAUCAUAUGCAGUUUUGUUCACUGAUUCUCAGCACCCCCACUAUAAAACCUGUACCAACACCACUGUCUGCAGCUCAUCUCAACUAUCUUCUUCUCUUUUCCCAAAAAGGACAGUUAUCACAUGUUUGAGACUGUCAAACAAGGGGGCUUUUCCUUCUAAAAACUCUCUCCAGCUCCAGGGAAAAGGAACAAGGGAUGUUGUUAAAAUGAAAGCCUGCCUUAGCAAUUUACAUUUCAAAUGCCUUCAGUGUUUUUCCUUCUUUUAUUUAUCUUUAGUAAAAGGUUAAAGAUGUUUAAUGGUGUGUGUGCCAUGGUGGUGAAGUCUCUGUAGACCAUAUCUGAAUGUUAUCUAACACUGUUUAAUGUUGGACAGUAACUGGGUUAUGCUAACACCUUUGGCCCAUAUAUUCCGUCUAAAUUAAUACAACAUGCUCCAGUCCCGUAAGGAGCACCAUUCCUACAUAUAGCUCCUUGCUGGAUCAGGGUCCAAGUGUGCUGACUGCCAGGCCAUGCUGCUGGACCAAGCUUUUUCCAGAGGUUUUUCCUGAAAUAGAGAGAGGGGCAAGAUUGGUUAACAUGGCUGUUGGGCUGAUAAUGACUUUCAUAUGUUGAUUUUAAAUGGAUCAUUACACUGGCCUUGAGGUUUGCAGAGAUGCAUUUCAAAAACCAGAAAUCAAUGCACUUGAAAUAUUCUGUAUCAUUUUGCUUGCUGUUCACCCACUGAGGGCAAGAUUAAAAGAAAGAUGCAAAAGAAUUGGAAGUUAGCCUUUAAAAACUAUUCUUAAAAAGUUAAUAAACCUCGUGACCUAGUACUUUGUUUAAAAUUAAACUCAUUAAUUUUAACAAAACAUCAGUGUUUUAGAUAUUAAUGUAUGAAUGAUGGGGUAAACAACUCUUGAGCUUCUAAGGAAUGCAUAUCAGGCUGUCCUGCAAGGGAAUACUUUGUACUUGCACGGUCACCUUCCAAGAAUUUUAGUGCUUUAUAAAAAAAAUAAACAAAACUGCUCUGCCUUGUAAGAUCGUUGUGAGGGAUAUAUAUGGAGCACUUCAUCCAGCACUGAAAUGCAGCCAGCUCUGGAGCAGAACUCAGCAACUCUAUAAUAGUGGAUGAUUACAGUACAUGGCAGAUUAUAGUAAAAUAUGAAAUACACAUGAAAGGUAAAGAAGAAAC
Molecule: long non-coding RNA, 10552 nt
Organism: Chelonia mydas (Green sea turtle)
Lineage: Eukaryota; Metazoa; Chordata; Testudines; Cheloniidae
Exons: 3
Source: RefSeq, a predicted model, not a curated record